RNAcentral lists this long non-coding RNA (541 nucleotides) under Mytilus galloprovincialis (Mediterranean mussel). The record is from RNAcentral. Lineage: Eukaryota; Metazoa; Mollusca; Bivalvia; Mytilida; Mytilidae.
AAUCGUUCUGCCAGCAUCCUUCGGGGGCUAUCGUAGGUUAGGCAUUAAAACAAUACACAAAAACAUAUAUUAUAUACAGCAAUACACAACAACCCUUGACUUAUGUGCUGACAUUCGCCAAAAGGAUUAAAUUUACAAUUAUAUCCAAAAAUAACAGAAAGCGAAUUGAUAUGUUUUAGAUAUUUUAUGAAAGUAUCUUAUGAACCUUUAUUUAAUCAUUCAGAAUAGACAAACCAAGUACAUUAUGAUUGAUUUUAUUUGAAUUUUAUGAUAAUUUAAGAUGAUAAGACAUUUGUCAAUGAACAGCGGUAUACUACUGUUUCCUUUAUUUGUCCUGUAUCUGUUUAGGACAAGAUGGUGUACUUGACACAGAUGAUAGUAUCAUUUCAAAUUGAGACCAAACCUCCUUAAAGAGGAAAACAAUUAUCACUCCGGCGCUAUACGUCCUCGAAUAGUUUCACAUUUUCUGAACAAACACAACAUUUUAUUCGAACUACUUCCAAGUGCCUUUAUUUUCUCCUUCUUUAGGAUAAUUAACCAG